This 253-nucleotide ribosomal RNA is filed under the name uncultured bacterium. RNAcentral's name for it is "partial 16S ribosomal RNA". It matches the Rfam family "Bacterial small subunit ribosomal RNA", at positions 524 to 776 of the family's 1533-position model. The record is from RNAcentral.
UACGUAGGGCGCAAGCGUUAUCCGGAAUUAUUGGGCGUAAAGAGCUCGUAGGCGGUUUGUCGCGUCUGCCGUGAAAGUCCGGGGCUCAACUCCGGAUCUGCGGUGGGUACGGGCAGACUAGAGUGAUGUAGGGGAGACUGGAAUUCCUGGUGUAGCGGUGAAAUGCGCAGAUAUCAGGAGGAACACCGGUGGCGAAGGCAGGUCUCUGGGCAUUAACUGACGCUGAGGAGCGAAAGCAUGGGGAGCGAACAGG